Molecule: ribosomal RNA, 473 nt
Filed under: uncultured bacterium
Lineage: Bacteria
Description: bacterial SSU rRNA
Rfam family: Bacterial small subunit ribosomal RNA
Source: RNAcentral
ACUCCUACGGGAGGCAGCAGUAGGGAAUCUUCCACAAUGGGCGCAAGCCUGAUGGAGCAACACCGCGUGAGUGAAGAAGGGCUUCGGCUCGUAAAGCUCUGUUGUUAAAGAAGAACACGUAUGAGAGUAACUGUUCAUACGUUGACGGUAUUUAACCAGAAAGUCACGGCUAACUACGUGCCAGCAGCCGCGGUAAUACGUAGGUGGCAAGCGUUAUCCGGAUUUAUUGGGCGUAAAGAGAGUGCAGGCGGUUUUCUAAGUCUGAUGUGAAAGCCUUCGGCUUAACCGGAGAAGUGCAUCGGAAACUGGAUAACUUGAGUGCAGAAGAGGGUAGUGGAACUCCAUGUGUAGCGGUGGAAUGCGUAGAUAUAUGGAAGAACACCAGUGGCGAAGGCGGCUACCUGGUCUGCAACUGACGCUGAGACUCGAAAGCAUGGGUAGCGAACAGGAUUAGAUACCCUGGUAGGAUAGCG